AGAAUCAACGCUGGCGGCGUGCCUAACACAUGCAAGUCGAACGAGAAAGUGGAGCAAUCCAUGAGUAAAGUGGCGACCGGGUGAGUAACACGUGACUAACCUACCUUCGAGUGGGGGAUAACCUCGGGAAACCGAGGCUAAUACCGCAUAACAUCGCAAGAUCAAAGCAGCAAUGCGCUGGAAGAGGGGGUCGCGGCUGAUUAGCUAGUUGGCGGGUAACGCCCACAAGGCGAAGAUCGGUAGCCGGCCUGAGAGGGCGCACGGCCACACUGGAACUGAAACACGGUCCAGACUCCUACGGGAGGCAGCAGUGGGGAAUUUUGCGCAAUGGGGGAAACCCUGACGCAGCAACGCCGCGUGGAGGAUGAAGCCCCUUGGGGCGUAAACUCCUUUCGACCAAGACGAUAAUGACGGUACUGGUGGAAGAAGCACCGGCUAACUCUGUGCCAGCAGCCGC
Molecule: ribosomal RNA, 457 nt
Filed under: uncultured bacterium
Lineage: Bacteria
Description: SSU rRNA
Rfam family: Bacterial small subunit ribosomal RNA
Source: RNAcentral